UACGGAGGGUGCGAGCGUUGUCCGGAUUUAUUGGGUUUAAAGGGUGCGUAGGCGGCCGUUUAAGUCUGGGGUGAAAGCCCGCUGCUCAACAGCGGAACUGCCCUGGAUACUGGAUGGCUUGAGUACAGACGAGGGCGGCGGAAUGGAUGGUGUAGCGGUGAAAUGCAUAGAUACCAUCCAGAACCCCGAUUGCGAAGGCAGCUGCCUAGACUGUAACUGACGCUGAGGCACGAAAGCGUGGGGAGCGAACAGG
RNAcentral lists this ribosomal RNA (253 nucleotides) under uncultured bacterium. Its description in RNAcentral is "partial 16S ribosomal RNA". It matches the Rfam family "Bacterial small subunit ribosomal RNA", at positions 524 to 776 of the family's 1533-position model. The record is from RNAcentral.